Molecule: RNA transcript, 1743 nt
Organism: Styela clava
Lineage: Eukaryota; Metazoa; Chordata; Ascidiacea; Stolidobranchia; Styelidae
Gene name: tubulin alpha-1D chain-like
Source: RefSeq, a predicted model, not a curated record
GUUGUCAUGCGAGAAUGGUAUAAAAGACACAUUUCACCAAGCCGCCUUCAUUCAUCUGUACCUGCAGGAGACACGUAACGGUCUACGCGAGUCGGAAUAAGCUAAUAAUCAUCUUUUUCAUCUCAACAACUACCUUUAUCUAACCAAACAAUAUGCGCGAGUGCAUCUCUAUCCACGUCGGACAAGCCGGAGUCCAAAUCGGCAAUGCCUGCUGGGAACUGUACUGUUUGGAGCAUGGCAUCCAGCCAGACGGUCAAAUGCCAAGCGACAAGACCAUUGGAGGAGGAGAUGAUUCUUUCAACACCUUCUUCAGUGAGACUGGUGCGGGAAAGCACGUUCCUCGUGCCGUUUUCGUCGACUUGGAACCAACUGUUGUCGAUGAGGUCCGUACCGGGACCUAAACAGCUGUUCCACCCCGAACAACUCAUUACUGGUAAAGAAGAUGCUGCCUAACACUCGGCCCCGUUGGUCCUACACAUUGGAAAGAAAUCGUCGACCUUGUCCUUCGAUCGUAUCCGUAAACUUGCCGAUCAAUGUACCGGUCUCCAAGGUUUCUUGAUCUUCCACUCCUUCGGUGGUGGUACUGGAUCUGGUUUCACUUCUCUUCUUAUGGAACGUCUAUCCGUCGAUUAUGGAAAGAAAUCAAAACUGGAAUUCGCCAUCUACCCAGCACCCCAGGUCUCCACCGCUGUUGUUGAACCAUACAACUCUAUUCUGACCACUCACACUACUUUGGAACACUCCGACUGUGCUUUCAUGGUAGACAAUGAGGCUAUCUACGAUAUCUGCCGUCGCAACUUGGACAUUGAACGACCAACCUACACCAACUUGAACAGACUCGUUGGACAGAUCGUUUCGUCCAUCACUGCAUCUCUUCGUUUCGAUGGUGCACUCAACGUUGAUUUGACCGAAUUCCAGACCAACUUGGUACCUACCCACGUAUCCAUUUCCCUCUCGCAACAUACGCUCCAGUAAUCUCUGCAGAAAAAGCAUACCAUGAACAACUCUCAGUUGCUGAAAUUACCAACGCAUGCUUCGAGCCAGCCAACCAGAUGGUAAAAUGUGAUCCACGUCACGGAAAAUACAUGGCUUGCUGCAUGUUGUACCGUGGAGAACGUUGUCCCCAAGGAUGUCAACGCCGCCAUUGCAACCAUUAAGACAAAGAGAACCAUCCAAUUUGUCGAUUGGUGCCCAACUGGUUUCAAGGUCGGAAUCAACUACCAACCACCAACCGUUGUGCCAGGAGGAGAUUUGGCCAAGGUCCAACGUGCCGUAUGCAUGUUGAGCAACACCACCGCAAUUGCCGAAGCAUGGGCUCGUCUUGAUCACAAAUUCGAUUUGAUGUACGCCAAGCGUGCUUUCGUCCACUGGUACGUCGGAGAAGGUAUGGAAGAAGGAGAAUUCUCUGAAGCCCGUGAAGAUUUGGCUGCUCUUGAGAAGGAUUACGAAGAAGUCGGAGUCGAUUCCGUUGAAGGUGAAGGAGAGGAGGGAGAAGGAGAAGAGUAUUAGAUGAAGCAAUAAUCACGACCUACCAUCGUCGACACAAUCACUACACAACGACCACAAUAUAUUCAUAAUUUUCCGUAUUUCAUAUUUUGGUUUUAAAUAAUUUUCUGAAACACUCAGCAUCGGAGUUGAGAAUAAUUUUUUUAAGUUGAUACAUUGUUUACAUCUUUUAAUCUGGUGAUUUUGCACGGUGUUAUGGUUUUACAAAACAGAGAGAAAAAGGAAAAUCGAUAUAAA